GGAAAGACCCCGUGAACCUUUACUAUAGCUUGACACUGAACAUUGAGCCUUGAUGUGUAGGAUAGGUGGGAGGCUUUGAAGCGUGGACGCCAGUCUGCGUGGAGCCAACCUUGAAAUACCACCCUUUAAUGUUUGAUGUUCUAACGUUGGCCCCUUACCGGGGUUGCGGACAGUGUCUGGUGGGUAGUUUGACUGGGGCGGUCUCCUCCCAAAGCGUAACGGAGGAGCACGAAGGUUAGCUAAUCCUGGUCGGACAUCAGGAGGUUAGUGCAAUGGCAUAAGCUAGCUUGACUGCGAGCGUGACGGCGCGAGCAGGUGCGAAAGCAGGUCAUAGUGAUCCGGUGGUUCUGAAUGGAAGGGCCAUCGCUCAACGGAUAAAAGGUACUCCGGGGAUAACAGGCUGAUACCGCCCAAGAGUUCAUAUCGACGGCGGUGUUUGGCACCUCGAUGUCGGCUCAUCACAUCCUGGGGCUGAAGUAGGUCCCAAGGGUAUGGCUGUUCGCCAUUUAAAGUGGUACGCGAGCUGGGUUUAGAACGUCGUGAGACAGUUCGGUCCCUAUCUGCCGUGGGCGCUGGAGAAUUGAGGGGGGCUGCUCCUAGUACGAGAGGACCGGAGUGGACGCAUCACUGGUGUUCGGGUUGUCAUGCCAAUGGCACUGCCCGGUAGCUAAAUGCGGAAGAGAUAAGUGCUGAAAGCAUCUAAGCACGAAACUUGCCCCGAGAUGAGUUCUCCCUGAGACUU
This 742-nucleotide ribosomal RNA is filed under the name Klebsiella pneumoniae. RNAcentral's name for it is "partial 23S ribosomal RNA". It matches the Rfam family "Bacterial large subunit ribosomal RNA", at positions 2082 to 2823 of the family's 2925-position model. The record is from RNAcentral. Lineage: Bacteria; Pseudomonadati; Pseudomonadota; Gammaproteobacteria; Enterobacterales; Enterobacteriaceae.